This 29-nucleotide non-coding RNA is filed under the name Rattus norvegicus (Norway rat). The record is from RNAcentral. Lineage: Eukaryota; Metazoa; Chordata; Mammalia; Rodentia; Muridae.
UGGACUAUUUGGUUGGUGUUUUAGUCCCU